AAAACUUUCAACAACGGAUCUCUUGGUUCUGGCAUCGAUGAAGAACGCAGCGAAAUGCGAUAAGUAAUGUGAAUUGCAGAAUUCAGUGAAUCAUCGAAUCUUUGAACGCACCUUGCGCCCUCCGGUAUUCCGGUGGGCAUGCCUGUUCGAGCGUCAUU
Molecule: ribosomal RNA, 158 nt
Filed under: Roccellina accedens
Lineage: Eukaryota; Fungi; Ascomycota; Arthoniomycetes; Arthoniales; Roccellaceae
Also listed under: 4 other names
Description: 5.8S ribosomal RNA
Rfam family: 5.8S ribosomal RNA
About the family: 5.8S ribosomal RNA (5.8S rRNA) is a component of the large subunit of the eukaryotic ribosome.
Source: RNAcentral